Molecule: unclassified non-coding RNA, 370 nt
Filed under: uncultured Mortierella
Lineage: Eukaryota; Fungi; Mortierellomycota; Mortierellomycetes; Mortierellales; Mortierellaceae
Description: sequence contains ITS1
Rfam family: 5.8S ribosomal RNA (bases 1-106)
Source: RNAcentral
GAAAUGCGAUACGUAAUGUGAAUUGCAGGAUUCAGCGAAUCAUCAAAUUCUUGAACGCAAAUGGCGCUCUGCGGCUCGUCCGUGGAGCAUGUCUGUUUGAGUGUCAGUAACAUCCUCACAACCUCUCCAUGAGGGGGAGUGGAUUGAUGACGGUUGGCGGUCCUUAGCGACGUCAUCCGUUGAAGCACAGAGGAGUCCCGGCCCCAAUUAGCCGCGACGUGGUGAAGUAGGUCUUACGAUUUACACUACACCACUCGUGCCGAGGCACGUGGUCUCCUUGACAAGGGAAGCUGUCUGCGUGUUUACACGCUGGACUGUUUCUAACUACAACAAUGACCUCAAAUCAGGCAAGACUACCCGCCGAAUUUAA